AUAUAACGAGAAAGAGUGCAAUGUUUAUAAGUACAAGGUUUUGAAGAUUGAGAAAGUGAAUCAUCGUUUGUCAAUGUACUAUACAUAUUGGAUGACUGUCAAUGUAAUAAAUCUCACUCUUGGUACUCCUAUAGGAACUUUUCAAAUCCAUGCUGCUAUGAGUUACGUCAAUGAUGAUGAAGUUAUCUAUUGUUGCCGGCCUAAAGAGGAGGCCAUUGUUGGUUUGCCAAGCUGCGAGUUUUGUUCUGGCUUGCUGCCAGAGAGGCGUGUCACUGGAGGAAAGGAACCAUAGUUAUUUAAAUUUCUACUGUUUGAGAUUUCAUCUUUAUAAGGUAUGGUCUUGGUUGGGAUUCUAUCCUUUGUAACUUAAGUCCUUUACUUUGAUAUUUGAUCUGACCUCUUUGUUAAUUGAAGUAUCUUAUCAUAUUUUUUUCACCUGGAUUUUAGUUUUUCAGAUUUAGCACUUUUUGAGACCAUUUCAAUCUCUCUGCUAUAAGCCCUUUACUUUGAGGAGUGAUCAGAAGAUCUUUUUUAUUUGAAGUAUCUGAUAAUUUCAGAUAAUUUGUCAUUUGACUAAUAACUAUCCUAUAGGUUUGCAUGACACUGACCCAUAAUAGCUUCUUCAAAAAUAUCUUUAACUUGUGUGCUAGGGAUUGUGCUAUUUCUAACCAAUUGUUUGGAAGUAUGCCUAUGGCUUGUAGUUGCUUAUUAGUAUUGAUAGGAGCAAGUGAAUAGAUUGUUACAAGUGAUCCCCACUCCCAGGUUUUUGGCUUUU
Molecule: long non-coding RNA, 775 nt
Organism: Lycium ferocissimum
Lineage: Eukaryota; Viridiplantae; Streptophyta; Magnoliopsida; Solanales; Solanaceae
Exons: 3
Source: RefSeq, a predicted model, not a curated record